ACGCCCACGCAAUGCUGUAGCGGUAACUGAAGCAAGGCAUCUGUUUAGAAGGACAGAGAAGUGCCUUGGCCUCAGGGAUAUUGCACAGGGCUAUGCCAGUUAGUACUAUGCUCUUAGUACCUAGUAUAGUUGUAACCUUAACCUAGAAGUGUCUACUAAAGGAGUUUCAUGAGUUUUUUUAAGCUUUCCUUGACUGGCUGAGGAUUGUGGGAUUUUUUUAUCUCUCCAAAAAGAAGUACAGCCUGUUUGAGAUUGAAGACAAGUACAGUGUUAUACGAAUGGAUCGGCAAGUUUUUUGGGGAAGAGUUAUGAGAGAAUAAACGACGGAAGUGUCAGUUGUGGAAGACCCAAGAGUUUACAUCGGCAGACUGUAGCACGUUCACUGAACCACUACCAAAGAGGACGUUCAAGAAAAUUGCAUCAUUAUUUCUGUCUUUACAUCACGAGUAGACAUACAAUAAUUAUGUUAAAUUGUUUGUAUAAUGAAUUGUUUAUGAUCUAGAUCUAUAAAAGAGAAGUUAACAUGUUCUUGAACUUCUAUUAACACUG
Molecule: long non-coding RNA, 549 nt
Organism: Halichondria panicea
Lineage: Eukaryota; Metazoa; Porifera; Demospongiae; Suberitida; Halichondriidae
Exons: 3
Source: RefSeq, a predicted model, not a curated record